CCUACGGGUGGCAGCAGUGGGGAAUAUUGCGCAAUGGGCGAAAGCCUGACGCAGCGACGCCGCGUGAGGGAUGAAGGUCUUCGGAUCGUAAACCUCUGUCAGCAGGGAAGAACGGUCACUGUGCUAAUCAGCAGUGAAUUGACGGUACCUGCAAAGGAAGCACCGGCUAACUCCGUGCCAGCAGCCGCGGUAAUACGGAGGGUGCAAGCGUUAAUCGGAAUUACUGGGCGUAAAGCGCUCGUAGGCGGUAUGUCAAGUCAAGGGUGAAAUCCCCGCGCUCAACGUGGGAACUGCCUUUGAAACUGGCAAACUGGAGUAUGUGAGAGGAUAGUGGAAUUCGAGGUGUAGGAGUGAAAUGCGUAGAUAUCUGGAGGAACAUCAGUGGCGAAGGCGACUAUCUGGCACAUAACUGACGCUGAGGAGCGAAAGCGUGGGUAGCAAACAGGAUUAGAUACCCUAGUAGUC
RNAcentral lists this ribosomal RNA (465 nucleotides) under uncultured bacterium. RNAcentral describes it as "partial 16S ribosomal RNA". It matches the Rfam family "Bacterial small subunit ribosomal RNA", at positions 338 to 795 of the family's 1533-position model. The record is from RNAcentral.